CAGCCGCCGCGGGAACACGUAGGGUGCAAGCGUUAAUCGGAAUUACUGGGCGUAAAGCGUGCGCUGGCGGUCCGUUAAGACAGAUGUGAAAUCCCCGGGCUUAACCUGGGAACUGCAUUUGUGACUGGCGGGCUAGAGUAUGGCAGAGGGGGGUAGAAUUCCACGUGUAGCAGUGAAAUGCGUAGAGAUGUGGAGGAAUACCGAUGGCGAAGGCAGCCCCCUGGGCCAAUACUGACGCUCACGCACGAAAGCGUGGGGAGCAAACGGGAUUAGAUACCCGAGUAGUCCCUGUCUCUUAUAC
Molecule: ribosomal RNA, 301 nt
Filed under: uncultured bacterium
Lineage: Bacteria
Description: partial 16S ribosomal RNA
Rfam family: Bacterial small subunit ribosomal RNA
Source: RNAcentral